This is a non-coding RNA of Mus musculus (house mouse), 344 nucleotides long. NCBI's taxonomy places the organism in Eukaryota, Metazoa, Chordata, Mammalia, Rodentia, Muridae. The record is from the annotation of a RefSeq genome assembly.
AUGAGAGUUAGGCUCAUCUCUGCUGUGGUGCUGUGUUUCCUAGGAACAGGCCUUGUGGACAUGAAAGUAACCCAGAUGCCAAGAUACCUGAUCAAAAGAAUGGGAGAGAAUGUUUUGCUGGAAUGUGGACAGGACAUGAGCCAUGAAACAAUGUACUGGUAUCGACAAGACCCUGGUCUGGGGCUACAGCUGAUUUAUAUCUCAUACGAUGUUGAUAGUAACAGCGAAGGAGACAUCCCUAAAGGAUACAGGGUCUCACGGAAGAAGCGGGAGCAUUUCUCCCUGAUUCUGGAUUCUGCUAAAACAAACCAGACAUCUGUGUACUUCUGUGCUAGCAGUUUAUC